Molecule: ribosomal RNA, 531 nt
Filed under: uncultured bacterium
Lineage: Bacteria
Description: bacterial SSU rRNA
Rfam family: Bacterial small subunit ribosomal RNA
Source: RNAcentral
AAUAGAUACCCAGGUAGUCCACGCCGUAAACGAUGUCGACUUGGAGGUUGUUCCCUUGAGGAGUGGCUUCCGGAGCUAACGCGUUAAGUCGACCGCCUGGGGAGUACGGCCGCAAGGUUAAAACUCAAAUGAAUUGACGGGGGCCCGCACAAGCGGUGGAGCAUGUGGUUUAAUUCGAUGCAACGCGAAGAACCUUACCUACUCUUGACAUCCACGGAACUUAGCAGAGAUGCUUUGGUGCCUUCGGGAACCGUGAGACAGGUGCUGCAUGGCUGUCGUCAGCUCGUGUUGUGAAAUGUUGGGUUAAGUCCCGCAACGAGCGCAACCCUUAUCCUUUGUUGCCAGCGGUUAGGCCGGGAACUCAAAGGAGACUGCCAGUGAUAAACUGGAGGAAGGUGGGGAUGACGUCAAGUCAUCAUGGCCCUUACGAGUAGGGCUACACACGUGCUACAAUGGCGCAUACAAAGAGAAGCGACCUCGCGAGAGCAAGCGGACCUCAUAAAGUGCGUCGUAGUCCGGAUUGGAGUCUGC